Molecule: non-coding RNA, 232 nt
Organism: Paramuricea clavata
Lineage: Eukaryota; Metazoa; Cnidaria; Anthozoa; Malacalcyonacea; Plexauridae
Source: the annotation of a GenBank genome assembly
GCGCAUAUCCACACCGGGCGAGCUUGAAAAAUAUGCCCGGCCACGGUGGGAUUCGAACCUACGACCUUUGGAAUACUAGCCCAAUGCUCUUCCAACUGAGCUACGCGGUCAGGGCGGUUCGAGUAAGUGAUAUUUCGGAACAGUAUCUAGUUCCUUCAAUACCAAUGUGUUCUUGUAAUAUGAAUUUUUUUCUGUGUUGGUGUUGUGUACUCAGGUGAAUAAUAUGUUUCCG